UCAGGUGGCCGCAGAGAAUAGGCCCAAGCGACUGUUUACCAAAAACAUAGGUUUCUGCUAAGUCGCAAGACGAUGUAUAGGAGCUGACGCCUGCCCGGUGCUGGAAGGUUAAGGGGAUCUGUUAGAGCAAUCGAAGCAGUGAACUUAAGCCCCAGUAAACGGCGGCCGUAACUAUAACGGUCCUAAGGUAGCGAAAUUCCUUGUCGGGUAAGUUCCGACCCGCACGAAAGGCGUAACGAUUUGGGCACUGUCUCAACAACAGACUCGGUGAAAUUGUAAUUCCGGUGAAGAUGCCGGAUACCUGCGACAGGACGGAAAGACCCCAUGGAGCUUUACUGUAGCUUGACAUUGGGUCUUGGUACUACAUGUACAGGAUAGGUGGGAGGCUUUGAAACCAGGACGCCAGUUUUGGCGGAGCCAUCCUUGGGAUACCACCCUUGUAGUACUGGGACUCUAACCAUAGGCCAUGAAUCUGGUCUUGGGACACUGUCAGGUGGGCAGUUUGACUGGGGCGGUCGCCUCCCAAAAGGUAACGGAGGCGCUCAAAGGUUCUCUCAGUACGGUCGGAAAUCGUACGUAGAGUGUAAAGGCAAAAGAGAGCUUGAUUGCAAGACAUACAGGUCGAGCAAGGAUGAAAAUCGGACUUAGUGAUCCGGUGGUUCUGCGUGGAAGGGCCAUCGCUCAACGGAUAAAAGCUACCCUGGGGAUAACAGGCUUAUCUCCCCCAAGAGUCCACAUCGACGGGGAGGUUUGGCACCUCGAUGUCGGCUCAUCACAUCCUGGGGCUGUA
Molecule: ribosomal RNA, 790 nt
Filed under: Clostridioides difficile
Lineage: Bacteria; Bacillati; Bacillota; Clostridia; Peptostreptococcales; Peptostreptococcaceae
Description: bacterial LSU rRNA
Rfam family: Bacterial large subunit ribosomal RNA
Source: RNAcentral